UAAUAAUUAUAAUUGCCCGAAAUUGACCCGCGAUUUAUUGUAUAAUAUAAUGCCCUGGUUGCGCUUGAAAUAUUCGAUUUUGUGCUGAAUGUUGAACAAGUCGGAAACGGGAAGCUCGAUGCGUCAGUAGUGGAUAUCCGUUGACAUCACCUAAGGGGUACCAAUUUGACCCAAAAGAAGCAACUUUAACACCCAGCAGUAAUAACCACAUUUUAUGUAAAAGAUUACCAUAAUCUUGAUGUUGCAGACGCGAAAACACAGAUUUAAUUUGAUAUUCACAGUUAGCAGCCAUAUUGUUGCGAGAAGAUUGGCGGACAUAACUAACUUCACUAAUUUGAUAAGUGCUCGACAGCGAUGGGCAAGAAGUGGUUGAAUAAGAUCAACGCUAGUUUCUUAUGUGUUUGACAUUAGUGGAUUAACAAAAUUCAUGAUACCACUUCUAACUUGGAAAAACAAAUAACUAUAAAAAGACUCUUCUCAUUAUUU
This is a long non-coding RNA of Hermetia illucens (black soldier fly), 486 nucleotides long. RefSeq lists it as uncharacterized. The transcript is spliced from 3 exons. The record is from RefSeq and is a predicted model, not a curated record. Lineage: Eukaryota; Metazoa; Arthropoda; Insecta; Diptera; Stratiomyidae.